This 344-nucleotide ribosomal RNA is filed under the name uncultured bacterium. RNAcentral's name for it is "bacterial SSU rRNA". It matches the Rfam family "Bacterial small subunit ribosomal RNA", at positions 917 to 1271 of the family's 1533-position model. The record is from RNAcentral.
GGACCCGCACAAGCGGUGGAGUAUGUGGUUUAAUUCGAUGCAACACGAAGAACCUUACCAGGGUUUGAAAUCAUUUCAAAACUCCUUGAAAGAGGAGCCUCCUUCGGGAUGAAAUGACAGGUGGUGCAUGGCUGUCGUCAGCUCGUGUUGUGAAAUGUCGAGUUAAGUCUCGUAACGAGCGCAACCCAUGUCUCUUGUUGCUCACUGAGUGCUUAAGAGAGACUGCCGACCAACAUCGGAGGAAGGUGUGGAUGAUGUCAAGUCAGCAUGCCCCUUACAUCCUGGGCUACACACGUACUACAAUGGUAAGGACAAUGAGCUGCGAUCCUGCGAAGGCUAGCCAA